Molecule: ribosomal RNA, 253 nt
Filed under: uncultured bacterium
Lineage: Bacteria
Description: partial 16S ribosomal RNA
Rfam family: Bacterial small subunit ribosomal RNA
Source: RNAcentral
UACGUAGGUGGCAAGCGUUGUCCGGAUUUAUUGGGUUUAAAGGGUGCGUAGGCGGCUUUGUAAGUCAGUGGUGAAAUAUGGCAGCUCAACUGUCAGGGUGCCAUUGAUACUGCAGAGCUUGAGUACGGAUGAGGUAGGCGGAAUUGACGGUGUAGCGGUGAAAUGCUUAGAUAUCGUCAAGAACACCGAUAGCGAAGGCAGCUUACUGGGCUGUAACUGACGCUGAGGCACGAAAGUGUGGGGAUCAAACAGG